This is a long non-coding RNA of Triticum aestivum (bread wheat), 2252 nucleotides long. RefSeq lists it as uncharacterized. The transcript is spliced from 4 exons. The record is from RefSeq and is a predicted model, not a curated record. NCBI's taxonomy places the organism in Eukaryota, Viridiplantae, Streptophyta, Magnoliopsida, Poales, Poaceae.
ACCGCAGAAAGCAUCCGUCCAUCGAUCCAUUCAUCCAGCCUCUCUCCCUCUUGCCCGAACCCUAGAGCUCCGCUCCUCCCUGCCGCCGCCACCUCCACCUCCCUCUCCCCGAUCCAGACCCAGCCACCACCCAUGGCGCCAGCCAGAGCAGCCUGCGGCGAUGGCGACAGCGAGGCUAGAGGCCGCCGGAUUCGGGAUCAGGGCGGCACAUAGCCCCUCCUCCCGUGAGAUCCGGGACGCAGUCGCCCAUCUGGAUCGAGCAGCUCCUCUGGCCGCUGCACCGUCUCCACCGUCCGGAUUUGGUGCUCCUCACGCGACCCACCCCCCAGCACGCGUCUCCACCUUCUCUUCCCCAACAUCCUUGGUGAGGGAAUGAAUAGGAGCUCCGGCCAAGGCCAUGGACGCCACCAGCAGAAGCUCCGCCUCGGAUCUUGCGACCUCGUCGACCGAAUCCAGCAGGUCCCCGCCGCUGCACCAAGAUCCUCCCCUCCCUCCCAGAGAGUCCCUCUCUCCCACACGCUCUGCAUCCGCUAUGGCCGUCGCAGCUUCCACCUCCAGAAGAGCACCUGCUCCUUGUGCGGUUACCCGGCCGCCCGCAUCCGCAAGUAGAGAUUGACGGUCGGCUGGGCAGUGUUAGCGCUAAACCUUCAUGCGUACUCACUCUGCUGCAAGCUUUAAUAAUCUUGAUUGAUGCAGACGCCACUGUAUGCAUGCCAAUUUUCUUUUGCAGAUGCUUUCACUUCACCCUUUUCUUUUCAUUUCUUUUCUCUCGAAACAAGGAAAGGAUUUAUUCUGACGGCCAUCUCUAUUUUAGCCUUUUAGGACUCUUAUUAAUUAACAUGCCUACUCUUCUCUGUGGUUUAAGGCUAGUCGAUUCACACUGCAUACAUGCAUAGCUAGCUUCCUCAUCUCCAGUCAAUGAGUUUGCCUUGAUUCAGGUCUUCUCUUCUCCUGGUGAUCAAAAUCAACACCGUACCCUUCCGUUCCUAUCUUAUUUACUAGUUCCCUUUCGUUUCUGUACCUGUCAUAGUCAGUGUGGUAAACUGGUAAUCAGCUAGCUUGGUGGUCACCAGAGUAUGUACUAUUUUAUUUACUAGUACUUUGCUUUCGAUUGUAAUGUGGAUCAGGAGAUGAACUAUAUAUUUUGUUUGUGUCAUGCAUGGCUGUGUCAUACAUGUAUUGACUGAACUUGACUGAAUGUGCAAUUUGAAUCUAGUACUUCUUCCAUUUCUGCUUUCCCCCAACCGGACAUAAGACAUAUCUAGGGUUUAAGCUGUUUUGUUUAGUUUGCUUGCACUGCCUGAAAUGAUGCACCAAUUCUGUAUCUUAUCCUUUUGCUGGAUGGUGGACCUGUCAACGAGUAUUAUUGACUUGAGUGACGACAGAUGCGGUAUUGUGUAGAUGGGUGGUUUGAAUAGUUCGUCCAGAGAAAAUUAUUUAUAGAAUAGAGAUUUGGCGAAAUAUGGUGCUUGUUUAUUGCUGUGAUGGAUACAUCCAAGACAAUUAUUGCGGCUUCAUCAGUGGAGUGUAUUUUUGUUUCAUUCAAUGUCUGAUCUGAUUAUAAACAUAACCACAGGACGUAUUUAGAUGGGUGUAUUUAGUGGGGUGUAUUUAGAUGGGUGUAUAUAAAAAUGAUUUGAUCUUCUCUUCCUUGGUUUCCUGAUGCGCUCCUAUUCCACAACCACAGGGACGGCACAUCAAUUGGGGACGAGCAGGAUGGGGCCAACAAGCCUAGGAGGAGGAUGAGCUCCAUCCGCAGCAGCUCAUGCUCAUGGAGGAACAAGUCUGAAUCGUUGUUGUUACUCUGCUGUCCUGGAGUCACCAUCCACAGCAGCCGUGGUGUGGCUGAGCCUCUGCUACGGCUACAACCUCCCUCUGUGGAACAACUUGGAGUUAGAGAACUUUAAGGACAAGAUCAACGAGGUGACCAGCGUUAUGGCGGCUGUGUACAGUGGCGACCACAAGUUCUUUGGUGAGCUUGCAGUAUCCAUAUUGUGUCAUAUAAGAUGCAGCUCCGUUGUGCAUCUCUCUUUUCUUGUGUGCUGCAUCAUUGUUGCUUGAUAGAGUAAAUGAUUUCAGUUCUGGUUGUGUCAAAUCUUUACUAUGUACCCUUAGUGUUUACUAAACUGAGGCACUAGGCAUUGGAAUUCAGGCAUUUAUGUAUAAUUUUAGUUUUGGAUGUGCCUGAUACGUCUCCAAUGUAUCUAUAAUUUUUGAUUACUCCAUGCUAUAUUAUUUGCUGUUUUGGACAA